This 359-nucleotide ribosomal RNA is filed under the name uncultured Actinomycetes bacterium. Its description in RNAcentral is "bacterial LSU rRNA". It matches the Rfam family "Bacterial large subunit ribosomal RNA", at positions 1402 to 1663 of the family's 2925-position model. The record is from RNAcentral. Lineage: Bacteria; Bacillati; Actinomycetota; Actinomycetes.
CCGAGAGGCGUAGGCGAUGGACAACGGGUUGAUAUUCCCGUACCGGCGAAAUGACGCCCAUGAUGAGGCGCAUGAUGCUAACCAUCUGAAGCGCACGUGACCGAUCCCUUCGGGGUGAGGCGUGUGUGUGGAACAUGGGACCCAAGUGUGUAGUAGUCAAGUGAUGGGGUGACGCAGGAAGGUAGUCGAACCGGCGCGAUGGUUGUCGCCGGCCAAGCAUGUAGGACUGAGUCUAGGCAAAUCCGGGCUCUGUAUGUCUGAGAUGUGAUGGGGAGCCGUUUGGUGAAGUCGAUGAUCCUAUGCUGUCGAGAAAAACCUCUAGCGAGUCAUGAGCCGCCCGUACCCCAAACCGACACAGG